RNAcentral lists this long non-coding RNA (7213 nucleotides) under Triticum aestivum (bread wheat). RNAcentral's name for it is "long non-coding RNA (TAES_LNC023897)". The record is from RNAcentral. Lineage: Eukaryota; Viridiplantae; Streptophyta; Magnoliopsida; Poales; Poaceae.
UCUGUUAUAAAUCCUUUGAGUACUAUGUGUGUCAGCAUUACCGAUCCAGGGAUGACACUGAACACAGAGAUUUGACCGUCUGAGGUCGGAUCGCUACAAGAUGGUAUCAGAGCACACGCUGAAUGUAGGACACGACCACUAAGAUGAGCCAUAGGUCACUCUUCUCUACUCAUUUCUGACUCUUCUCCAUUUUCUACUCUUUAGGAUGACGGACUCAAGGAACAGGUUUACACAACCGGAUGAAGACACACCUUUUGGACGACACUUGAAGGAAGUCACUAGGUACCUGAACAUUGGAAUACCCAGCUUCACCGGGACCUACACCGCCACUUUACCAUAAGAGGAGAGCUGGAUGAUUCGAGUUCAAGUUCCAGGAAGGACAUUCACGCCAGUCACUGAGCCCAUAGAGUUUUCCUUUGAUGCACCCACCUAGAGUCUAGGCAAGAGCAUGGCAGCCCACAUUGCUAUGGGAUGAAUUGGAAAAGUCUACAAACAGGAGCUGAAGGACACUAUCUACCAGAUAUGUGGGUGCCGAGAUGAGUAAUGGGAGAUGAUCAGCACCAGGAGGGAUAGGUCCAUUGCAGCUUUCAUCCAGGAGUUAAACCAGCACAUUCGUUGACAGGAGAAUCAGAUGUGCGCACACAUGAUAGAUUUGAAGAAGGCGCUGAACAGGAACACGGAACUAGAAGAGGAAAUCUAGUCUACUCGCGAUGGAUAUGAGGAGGAAUUCGUGAUACUUGUGGAGAAGAAUGACGACCUGACAAGGAAGCUAGGAGUAUUCAUGGGAGACCCCGCGCCAGGAGGAGAAGACGACGAACCCAAGGAGAUUCGUUCUGAAGACUACAUCAUCAUCAACGACACCGACUCCGACCCUGAUGGUAGUGAUGAUGAUUAUGAAGACAAAGCUGGAGCAGAUAUCAUGGAGUCUUCCACCGAUCAAUAUUUCUAGAUGACCACCAUAUGAUUAGUAGUUAUUCCCCAUGUAUAUAGUAGUAGUCCGAGCACUUUUGUAACGAUAGUUCUAGACCGAUUGUAUGCCCUUGCUUGAAUUGAUUUGGUGUGAUAUGAUUGAGUUUGUCUCAUGUGCAUAUGGGUAGUGCUUUCUCACUAUACCUCAUUUCUAUUCUAAUCUCUCCCCUCUAAACCCAUCAGAUGCCUUCGAGACGUGACACCGGAUUUGUCUUCCCACCGGAGAUCACUCAGUUGAUCCAACAGUAGAAUGCCUUGAUGCAGAUAUUAGUCCAGAACCAAGGCAACAACAACAACCCUCCACCACCACCACCAGUCGACAACUUAGCCCAUUUUGGGAGGUUGCAGCCGCCGGUGUUUUCUAGUAGCACCGAGCCAAUAGUUGCCGAUGACUCGCUACGCAAGAUUGGAAGGGAGUUGACCACCGGAGGAUGCACAGAUGCUGAGAAGGUGUGCUUUGCCGCACAUCAAUUGGAAGGACCAGCAGCUUCAUGGUGGGAGAAUUACACGACCACUUUCCCUAUAGCCAAUAUCACUUGGGAUCAGUUUCAGAAGCAUUCCGCACAGCCCAUGUCUCAACUGGAGCUAUGAGCAUGAAGAAGCACGAGUUUUGCAACUUGCGCUAGGGAAAUCAUACUGUGGCUUAGUACAUAGAUGAGUUUAGUAAGCUAUCUCACUAUGCCCCAGAUGAUGUGGCCAUAGAUGCCGCGAAGCAGGAGAAGUUUAUGGAAGGGCUAAAUGAUGAGAUGAUCAUGCAGUUGAUGGUGGCAACAUUUAACAACUACCAGGAGCUGGUAUACAAGGCUCUUAUGAUUGAUGGGAAGCAGCAGCAGAUUGAAAGCCGCAAGAGGAAGUAUGGACAAGGAAAGUACAAUUCUGGAGCUCAACAGAAGCCCCGUUUCACCCCGAACUCGGGAGGAUUUACCCAUAACCAUGGAGGCCACACCCAUAACGAAGGGAGUUCUCAUAACCACAAUGGCCCCAAGAAUGGGAAUGGGAAUGGAGCAAGCAGUAAUCAGAACCGCUCCAAUCCAGCCACACCCGCCAAGAAGGACCUAAGUCACAUUACUUGUUUCAAGUGCGGGAAGACUGGACACUAUGCCACUGAGUGCCCUGAAGUGAAGAAUGGGAAUGGCAAUGGAAGCUCUGGGAAGAAGCCCAACCCUUUCAACAGGGGACAAGUUAACCACGUGAACGUGGAGGAGGUUGAAGAGCAGCCUGAUGCAGUUAUCGGUAAGUUUUUGGUUAAGUCGUUUAUUGCAAUUGUUCUUUUUGAUACUGGUGCAUCAAAUUCAUACAUUUCAAGGGGAUUCGUGGAUAAAUAUAAGCUGCCCACCAAAGUACUUAGGACACCUAUGUUAGUAAGCUCACCAGGAGCGGAGUAUAUGGCAAGUCAAGGGUGUUUUCAGAUGCCAUUGACCAUUGGAAGCCAUGUUUUCCCCUCAGACCUGAUAAUUUUGGAGUCACAAGGAUUGGAUGUGAUACUAGGUAUGGAUUGGUUGUCGAUGUAUGGAGGAAACAUCGAUUGCGCCUGUAAGUCAAUUUUGCUCACCACACCGGAGGGAAAAAGGAUCAAGCAUGUAUCUAGGCAUGUGCCUAGGAGGACUCAAGUAAAUUCUCUCUCGGGAGUUGUUCAGGAGGAAGUGCUUGUAGUGAAGGAUUACCCAAAUGUAUUUCCAGAGGAACUACCAGGCAUGCCGCCAGAUCGAGACAUCGAGUUUUUGAUAGAGUUAUUGCCAGGCACCGGACCGAUAUCGAAGAGACCAUACCGGUUGCCCGCGAAUGAUUUGGAAGAGAUCAAGAAGCAGAUUAAGGAGUUAUUGGAGAAGGGUUACAUUCGACGAAGCUCAUCACCAUGGGGAGCCCCAGUGCUCUUGGUCGAGAAGAAGGAUGGAUCCUUAAGAAUGGUUGUUGAUUACCGUGUGUUGAAUGAGGUGACAAUCAAGAACAAGUACCCACUGCCGAAGUAUUCUCCAAGAUCGAUCUGCGAUCAGGGUACCAUCAGCUGAAGAUCCGAGAAAAGGAUAUACCUAAGACAGCGUUCACCACAAGGUAUGUGUUAUAUGAGUAUACGAUCAUGUCAUUUGGAUUGACUAACGCCCCUGCCUAUUUCAUGAGUAUGAUGAAUAAGGUGUUUAUGGAGUUUUUGGACAAAUUUGUUGUGGUGUUCAUUGAUGAUAUCUUGGUAUACUCGAAGAACGAGGAGGAACACAAGGAACAUUUGCGUUUGGUUCUUGAGAAGCUCAGGGAACAUCAGUUAUAUGCCAAGUUCAGCAAAUGUGAGUUUUGGUUGAAGGAAGUUGGAUUUCUUGGACAUGUUAUAUGAGGAGAAGGUAUAGCAGUGGAUCCUCCCAAGGUUCAGUCAGUCACUGAGUGGUUGGCACCCACCACAGUUGGAGAGAUCCAGAGUUUUCUUGGACUCGCGGGAUACUAUCGGAGAUUCAUUGAGAAUUUCUCCAAGAUUGCGAAGCCUAUGACGGCAUUGUUGAAGAAGGACACCAAGUUCCAUUGGACUGAAGAAUGCGAAGCAAGUUUUCAGGAGUUGAAGAAACGUUUGACUACAACCCCAGUGUUGAUUCUGCCGGAUAUACGCAAGGAUUUCCAAGUGUAUUGCGAUGCCUCUCGCCUAGGACUUGGAGGAGUACUUAUGCAAGACGGAAGAGUUGUUUCAUAUGCCUCAUGUCAACUUUGACCGCACGAGUUGAAUUAUGCCAUGCAUGAUUUGGAGUUAGCAGCUGUAGUGCAUGCCCUCAAGACCUAGAGGCAUUUUCUUAUUGGAAACCGUUGUGAUGUGUACACGGAUCGCAAGAGUUUGAAGUACAUUUUCACUCAGAAGGAGCUGAACCUCAGGCAGAGGAGAUGGUUGGAACUCAUAAAGGAUUAUGAUAUGAAGUUGCACUAUCAUCCAGGCAAGGCCAAUGUCAUAGCAGACGCUUUGAGCCGGAAGAGUUAUGCCAAUACCCUCGUAAGCGGAGGAUUGCCAAAGGAGUUAGCAGAAGAACUCAGGGAGCUUCGUUUGGAGAUAGUUCCGAGAGGUUUUGUUGGAGCAUUGGAAGUUCAAUCAACGUUAUUGGGAAAGAUUCGAGAAGCUCAGAAGGAGGACAAACAAAUUGCCGAGAUAAAGGAGAAGAUGAGUGAAGGAAAAGCCAAAGGUUUUCGUGAGGAUGAGCACGGCACCUUGUGGUUUGAGGACCGUGUAUAUGUUCCCAAUAAUGUCGAGAUCAGGAAAUUGAUACUACAGGAAGCUCAUGACUCGCCAUACUCGAUACACCCCGGAAACACUAAGAUGUAUUUGGAUUUGAAGGGACGUUUCUGGUGGACUGGAAUGAAGAAGGACAUUGCCGAGUAUGUAGCCAUAUGUGAUGUAUGUCAGAGAGUGAAGGCAGAACAUCAGAAGCCAGCAGGAUUACUGCAACCUAUGCCGAUACCCGAAUGGAAGUGGGACAAGCUUGGCAUGGAUUUUAUCACCGGAUUAACCAGGACCCGAUCAGGAUAUGAUUCUAUUUGGGUAGUAGUGGAUCGCUUGACCAAAGUAGCUCACUUUAUCCAGUGAAAACCACCUAUACCAGUGCAAAGUUGGCCAACAUAUAUAUGACCAGGAUCGUAUUUCUGCACGGAGUUCCGAGGACCAUCAUAUCAGAUAGAGGAACGCAGUUAACUUCAAAGUUUUGGCACUAGCUGCACCAGACCUUGGGUACCAGGCUAGAGUUCAGUACAGCCUUUCAUCCGCAGACAGAUGGACAGACCGAGAGAGUCAAUCAGAUUCUGGAGGACAUGUUGAGAGCUUGUGCGCUAGAUUAUGGAUCUAGUUGGGAUGACAAUUUGCCCUACGCGGAAUUCUCGUACAACAAUAGCUACCAGGCCAGCUUGAAGAUGGCACCGUUCGAAGCCUUGUAUGGAAGAAGAUGCCGAACACCGUUGAUGUGGGAUGAAGUUGGAGACCGUCAGUUGUUUGGACCGGAUUUGAUUAAAGAGUCGGAAGAGAAGGUUAAGCUGAUUCGAGAUAGACUGAAGGUAGCUCAGUCCAGACAGAAGAGUUAUGCAGAUUCAAAAUGCAAGGAGGUAGUCUAUGAAAUUGGAGACACAGCAUAUCUGUGUCACCUCUGCGAGGAGUUAACCGUUUCGGAGUAAAGGGAACGUUUGUCCGUACAUUCGUUUUAACGAACGCUGUUCGUCAGUUAGCCGCAGAUAGCGAACGUUUGUUCGUUAGCCUGUUCGUCUUGUUUUUUUUUCCAGGGUUUUUCCGUGAUUAUUUUUGAUCGCGAUUUCUGCCUUGAUCUUCGUUUUAGUUUAUCUUUUCGCUCGUUUAUCCAAAUCAGGUGAAACAAGCGCCUAGAUCUUCGUCUCGAAGCCCUCUUUCUGUUUAACCAACUUGAACAAGAUUUUGGUACUGUAAAAUUUGACUUUAGUCCAGAUUAGUAAACGAAUCUUGUUUCUUUCGUAGUUUGAGUUUCGUUGCUCCGUUUGAUUUGAUUCUUUUUGCAAACCGGACUUCUUCAGUUGAACUUUCUGGUUAGAUCUUCCUAUUUGAGUUUUACCCAUGCAUAUUUGCUUGAUUGCUUAUGUAUGUUAUUGUUUGUUUGCGAUAGAAUUCCCGGAGUGCGAAGCGUGCUACUACGAGUCACUAGGUUUUGCGGAUCGUCAGCAAGGCAAGUAACACAUUGAUCAUACUCUUUUCAUACCCAGUUUUUAUGCAUUAGUUACAAUCCUCAAACACUGCAUGAUUAGGAAGUGAUUAACUUGUGGGUUUUGGGAAGUAGAUGAUGAGGUAGAACCUAUUACCUGUUUUAUUAUCAAACCUUUGGGAGUUACUUCUACGUUAUGCUUAUAUUGCCAUGCUAUGCUCGUAGACGUGGAUUGGGUUUGAGUGUAUCCAUGACAGAUGUGAGUUGUUAAUUAAUGGUUCAACUUAAGGUGGCAACAUUAAUACACAUCUGGGUGGAUUGCUUGUGGGCACCUGGAGAAUCCAGUGUUGUCCUAGGAUAUCCUGGAGUACCCGUGUGAUCAUCCUACGGCCCGCCACCCAGGCUCAAAGGGAUCAUAAGAUUAUUCAUGCUAGAAACUUCCGUGUGCAGCCACAAGCUAUUAUGGGCUCUAGCAUAGUUGAGUAGGUUGCAUGACCUCUUUCAGUGUUAGGCUAGCAGAUGUACAGGGAAAGUAGGUGCAACUGUCUACCCAGAGUAAAGAGUUAGUGUUUCUGAAAGACUGUGUCUCGGUCAUCCGUUUCUCAAACACCAUGUAGUGCGAGAAAUCCAACAGAGGUGAUCGAGUCUUGUGGGGAAAAGUGUGCAAACCUCUGCAGAGUGUAUAAACUAAUCAUGGUUAGCCGUGUCCCCGGUUAUGGACAUCUUGAGUAUCUGGUACUUGAAUUAUUGAUUUGAUCUCAUCACUCUAAGCUAAUUUGAUGGGUUGUAAAUGACUACUUUAAUUGGGAUUGAGUUGGAGGAACCUUCUCAAUGAUGUUUCAACCACCAUGAUAGUUAAAUAAAAUCUAUUCCUUUGUUGUAGGGAAAAUUGGCUUUUUGCAAAACAUUAUAACCAUAGAGCCUCCACCAGCCAUAUAUGCAUGUAGUGAUAGCAUUUAUCAGUUCAUUGCUCUACCGUGUUAUAUUGCCAGCAUAUUCCAUGUGCUGUCCCGUUUUGGGCUGCAACAUAUCAUGUUGCAGACUUUUCAGACGAAGAGUAAGGUGUGCUAGGUCGUUUGUCAUGCACUCAGCUAUGCCGUUGGAGUUGAUGGACUCACUUUAUCUUCCAAGCCUUCCGCUGCUAUCUUAUUUAGAUGGCCUUAAGCCAUUUUUAUUGUUAUAAGUUCUCUUUUGAGAAAUUCGAUGUAAUAAGUGUGUGAUUGCCACUCUGUUAUAAAUCCUUCGAGUACUGUGUGUGUCAGCAUUACCGAUCCAGGGAUGACACUGAACACAGAGAUUUGACCGUCUGAGGUCGGAUCGCUACAGCCACCUUCAUAAUUCUUUCAUACAUGUCACUCUUGAUUCAUUGCACAUCCCGGUACACUGCCGGAGGCAUUCACAAAGAGUCAUAUUUUGUUCUAAGUAUUGAGUUAUAAUUCUUGAGUUGUAAGUAAAUAAAAGUGUGAUGAUCAUCAUUAUUAGAGCAUUUUUCCAGUGAGGAAAGGAUGAUGGAGACUAUGAUUCCCCCACAAGUCGGGAUGAGACUCCAGACAAAAAAUAAAAAAAGAGAAAAAAUGAGGCCAUAAAAAAAGAGAAAGGCCCAAAUAAAAAAAUGAGAG